Alexandromys fortis (reed vole) is the source of this 1409-nucleotide long non-coding RNA. RefSeq lists it as uncharacterized. The record is from RefSeq and is a predicted model, not a curated record. NCBI's taxonomy places the organism in Eukaryota, Metazoa, Chordata, Mammalia, Rodentia, Cricetidae. The transcript has 5 exons.
ACUAUUUUAAGGUUAUGCUUAAACCCGUUCCCAUCACAUAGGGACAUCUGUCACUUCCCUCAAUACUGAAGUCAUGUUCUUCUGCUCCCGUUCGGACUGUAGAAUUUGUUUCUGUGUCGUUCUUUCCAGGGUCUGAUUUCCUUAGCUUCUCCUGGCUGUAGUCGUUCUCUGCUGGGAAAGGAAGGGAACUGUUUUCGGGCCGGACCACCUAAGCCUCUGGUGAAACCGAGAAAGGCCGUCUAUGUAAACAUCUCAAAAACAAAGAUCUUGAGUAAACGUGGAGAGACAAAUUCGUUUCUCCUGAUCUCCCUAAACAGAAGCGACUACACUCAUUAUCAAAUGAAGCUCACACCCAAUCCAGGAUUCCUGGAAGAGAGGCCAGAGACCCCACGGGAGCCAUGCGGCCGAGGAUAAGGUGUGGUUGUGGGUCAAGUCUCUGAGGAAGCUGUUCAUUCAAACGUCCACAAAGAUUUAAGACUGGUGAUUCGCGGCAACUCGUCCAUGUUAGAGAAAACAGUCUUUCAUGCUGGGAGCUUAAGAACUUCUUGCUACAUAGACUCAGUACGUCACAAUAUCAAGAAAAUGCUCACAUUUCCGGGCAGGUGACACAUGGCAACUGACUCCCAAGGCAAGGAAGACAUUGAAAAGAAAAUUCUGGCCGGGCAGUAGUGAUGGACAUCUUUAAUCCCAGCACUUGGGAGCCAGAGGCAGAGCUGUAUAACAACAACUGACAUUUGUACAACACCUUCCAUCUGUGGGAACUGAAGAGUCAUAGACAGGAUCCUGGGGUCACUUCAUCUAUCAAAUGCCACAGUCUUGUAGAGCACAGUGGUGACCCUUCUCUGCAGGACAAGUUCCUAGCAUACUCACCUGCCGGCUCUGAAGCCAACUGACCAUGUUCUACCCUCAGGGGUACAAACUGCAAGCCCCAAAGACUUAGAGUGUGUGUUGGGCAGCAUGCUAACAGCCGCCUCUGCAUCCCGGGACGAUCCUCCAGCGUCGGCCUGGGUGAGACUGUGCAGGAGGACCAGCUGAGGAAGGAAGUGACAGAGGAGAAUUCAGAAAGCUUAGAUGAGGGUCAACAGACGGUAAAGAAGACAAAUGCUGCCGCAAACAACCUACCAUGCCGUUUCUAGAUCAGAGAGAAGUGGGAAGUGAGCCGCCUGACCUUAUGGAUUAAAAUUAUCUAUAGAUAGAUUGAUCUGUUUAACCCGUUGUCACCAAGCACAUGAAGUGUUACAUCAGGAACCCUUCAUUCUCAGAUCAGAUUAAAAGAUACUAUUCACCACGCACUUUUUAAGUAUCUGCUAUGGACAAAGUACCAAGGUGUAGCUCAGUAGUAAAAUGAUAGAAUGGCAAGAUAACAGCUUUGUCUUUUAAGCAAGGAGUUCAAGCAGAUGCACGGUGUA